Molecule: small nuclear RNA, 164 nt
Filed under: Chrysemys picta bellii (western painted turtle)
Lineage: Eukaryota; Metazoa; Chordata; Testudines; Emydidae
Description: U2 spliceosomal RNA (ENSCPBG00000001304.1)
Rfam family: U2 spliceosomal RNA (bases 1-118)
About the family: U2 is a small nuclear RNA (snRNA) component of the spliceosome (involved in pre-mRNA splicing). Complementary binding between U2 snRNA (in an area lying towards the 5' end but 3' to hairpin I) and the branchpoint sequence (BPS) of the intron results the bulging out of an unpaired adenosine, on the BPS, which initiates a nucleophilic attack at the intronic 5' splice site, thus starting the first of two transesterification reactions that mediate splicing.
Source: RNAcentral
CUCGCUUCUCAGCUCUCUAUGAGCUAAGAUCAAGCGUAGUAUCUGUUCUUAUCAGUUUAAUAUCUGAUAUGUCCUUUAUUUGAGGACUGUAUAUUAAAUUAAUUUUAUCUCAGUUAACUGGGGAUGUUUUGAGGGAGAAAUAGAGAGAGAAAAGCCAAACGCAU